GACGAACGCUGGCGGCGUGCCUAAUACAUGCAAGUCGAACGCUUCCUUCCUCCCGAGUGCUUGCACUCAAUUGGAAAGAGGAGUGGCGGACGGGUGAGUAACACGUGGGUAACCUACCCAUCAGAGGGGGAUAACACUUGGAAACAGGUGCUAAUACCGCAUAACAGUUUAUGCCGCAUGGCAUAAGAGUGAAAGGCGCUUUCGGGUGUCGCUGAUGGAUGGACCCGCGGUGCAUUAGCUAGUUGGUGAGGUAACGGCUCACCAAGGCCACGAUGCAUAGCCGACCUGAGAGGGUGAUCGGCCACACUGGGACUGAGACACGGCCCAGACUCCUACGGGAGGCAGCAGUAGGGAAUCUUCGGCAAUGGACGAAAGUCUGACCGAGCAACGCCGCGUGAGUGAAGAAGGUUUUCGGAUCGUAAAACUCUGUUGUUAGAGAAGAACAAGGACGUUAGUAACUGAACGUCCCCUGACGGUAUCUAACCAGAAAGCCACGGCUAACUACGUG
Molecule: ribosomal RNA, 508 nt
Filed under: uncultured bacterium
Lineage: Bacteria
Description: partial 16S ribosomal RNA
Rfam family: Bacterial small subunit ribosomal RNA
Source: RNAcentral